AUGUCCCCAACCCUCUCUAGCUUUUCGUUGCCACAUUUGGUGGCAUUAGCACACAGACUCAUGUGUUCCUGGUUCUUCCUUCCUUGGCAUUUGCGCAACCCCUUCCCUCCCCACAAUGUCCUUGUGACCUGCCUAUCUGGGGUCCCCUGGAGAUGUUUCAUGCUUGCUCAAGAGCCACAGUCUCCCCCAGAUGCCCACAGAUGGGCACUCCAUGGAGCACCUGCAGCUACAUCAGGUUCCACGAAACCCCUUUCAUCUGGUGACCUGAGAGCUGUGACCAAUGACGCAGACAGCAAAGGAAACAGAACUGUAACUUUUACGGUUAUAAGUGCCCCUAGACUGGGGAGGUUGGUGCGAGUAAAUUCUGAUAACAGCACAGAGGAUGUUUCCGUGUUCACACAGAAUCUGGUUUAAAAAGCUUAGCUUGAAGAAAAUGGACAUCUGCCAGUCACCUUGGGGCCAGAAAGGAAUUACCUUCAGCCUUGAUCCAGGUGGAAGCUCCUUUCCCCCUCAAUCUACCUUCUUUUUCCUAAGGUCCUAUGAGACAUUUGUACCUGAUAUACAAUGACAAUAGUAUAAAAGAAAAUAUACAAUACAUUUUCUCUUUAACUUUCCUUUUGUAAUAAAUACAGCAUAUAAAAUGACCUCUUUCUUUGAAUCCUUACAAGCUCUGGCCAAUAGUGAUUGUGUCCUAGCCAGGCCAGACCACAAAAUGGCAUUUGUCUUCCCUAGCUAUACCUACCAACUGACUUUUUGCAUUACUAAACUCCUUGAAGUUGGAGCACAUAAUCACGUGAAGUUCUUAGUUGCCUAGAAUCUCAUUGAGCUUUCCAUAGUGAAGGAGCAGUGCAGUAGGAAAAACAUGAAUUCUGGAGUUACAUGGGACUAGAUUAAAAACUGAGCUCUCCCAUUCAUUGGCUAUGAGUGAAUUAUUUACAUUUUGUGAACCUCAGGUUUGUUUUUUGUUUUUUUUAAUCUGUCAAGUGUAUAUAAUAAGGCCCCUAAAGUAAAAUGAGUUACAUAAAAUGCCUUGCAGAGUGUCUGGCACAUAUUUAGGGCUCAGCAAAAGGUAUUGGUUGUAUUUUUGUUAAAUCAAUGGGUAAGAAAUGUCUUGGAUUGCCUUAUUCCUACAGCUUCAUGAUAUAAACAUACUUUAUAAUUAAAUUUUGUAAAGCACUUUUUAAGUAGCUUAUUCAUUAAACAAAUAUUUAUUGAAAUGUCAAGUAUAGGAUGGUGAACUAAUACUUAUUUACAAAGCAACUGGAAGUAAGCUUCUAGAGUAUGUGCCAAAAUUCCAGCCUAACUACUUCUUGGUUUUAUAAGAAAAGAUUUAUUUUAUUAGGCAUAUUCUGGAAAUUUCUAAUUGCUUAAUAUUUUCAUGCCAUGAUCCUUUUAAAAAAUAAGUAUAGCCUUCCAUCUUAACUGGAAUCCUCUGAUGUCCUAAUAAGGAAUUGAUUAGUGAGGACUUAGAUGCUUUCCUAAAAGACUUAGAAAUGCCCAGGGUAUGCUGUUUUGAACAUUAAUAUGGCAAAAGACUAAUUAGGUUAAAUGCGUAUUUACAAGUGAGAUGUUAUUCUAUAUUUUAGUGCAGAAAUGGAGGGUCAGGGAGAUUAAAUGACUGGCAUAAAAGCCACAGAACUGGCUUUUUAUAAAACACCUUUUCUCAAAUUUCACAAGUUGUUUCAAUGAAUAUCCCCUAGAAGAAUAUCCUAAAGAAAAAAAUCCACAGCAUAAAACAGCAUUUAGUUUUCAGGUGUCAUUGGUCUGCUUUAACCUGAAAGCAUCCUGCAGUCACACUGACUUUUGUGACAUGGCCAUUUUUUGAGGAGAACAGGCCAGUCAUUUAUAGAAUGUUCCUCAGCUUGGUUUUAUUGGACAUUUCAUCACAGUCUUAUUCAGGUUGUGCAUUUUGGCAGGUCUGACAUGAGAGAUGCUGAGUUCUCCUCCAGCCUCACGUCAGGAAGCACUGAUGCUCACUCCACUCUGUCACUGAUGAUGUUCUCCAUUUAGUCAGGUGCUAUCUUUCAGGUUUCUCCUUGGCAAACUUACUAUUUUCCUUUUCGCAAUUAAGUAUUUUGUGAGGGAAUACUUUGAAACUAUUUAACUACUCUGUUUUUCAUCACAACUAAAGUAAGCAAUCAUUUUAGGAUUCUUACCUGUGAAAUAUUUAUUACCGGUGUGAUGACAAAUGGUGAUUUUUCUCAUUCUGUUUUUCCUUCCACAUUUACUAGUUGGAAUUCUGCAAAAUUUAAUUUUCUUUUUAAAAAGAUUUUAUUUAUUUAUUUAAGAGAGUGAUCGAGAGAGAGCACAAAGCAGGGGAGGGGCAGAGUGAGAGGGAGAAGCAGACUCCCUGCUAAGCAGGAAGCCUAAUGUGGCGCUUGAUUGAUCCCAGGACUCUGAGAUCAUGACCUGAGCCAAAGGCAGCCGCUUAACUGACUGAGCCACCCAGGCGGCCCCAAAUUUUAAUAUCUAAUGACAUUCAAAAAGACUCCAUCUGUAAAAGAGAAAAUAUCUGGGCUAAUCUAAAUCCAUGGGAAAUAAUAACCUCUCCUCUUCUCUCUCCAUAAUCUCUGAGCCCAGGUAUCCAGUAAGUGGCUUAUCUAUCUAUAUUUAAUACAGUAGAAAUAUGCAGAGCUGUUGGAAAUUGUUCCUAGGGCCACUUUCUAUUUGAGGUAACAAAAUUCCUAAUCCUGUCUGAGAUCCUUUUCUUCUGAGGUUUACCUUACACAUUUUCCCUUAAAGUCUUGGUCUUGUUCUCCCUUUAUCAGCCCUCUCUCACCACGCACACAAACACACACACACACACACACACACACACACACCUUAGAACCUGGUCUUAUUUUAUUAUUUUUUUCAAGUAGGCUCCAUGCCCAGUAUGGAGCCCCACUUGGGGCUAAAACUCAUGACUCUAAGACCUGAGCUGAAAUGUAAAAAAAAAAAAAAAAAAAAAAAAAAAGAUGCUCAACUGAUGGAGCCACCCAAGUGCCCCUAGAACCUGAUUCUUAAAGCUCUCUUUCUUUAAACAUUAAAGACUCUAUUCACCUCAAAGCUCCUUCAGGGCAUGGCUGCCAAGUUGACAUUCCACAGACACACUCAUUCCCUUUUGCUUCUAGCUCAGCACUUUCAAUUAUGUACUGUUUAGUCUUGAAGCUCAGACACUCAAGAUGAUUCUAAUUUGAUUCUCUCACUCUCCAGCAUAAAAUGAGUCAAUAAGGUAUUCACAAUUUCUCACUUUUGUAAUGACUUCAAAAACAGAACUUAUAGCAGACCUCUCUUUCAGAAGUCUUCCAAAGUACACAGCUAUGAUCAGGGCUCCUUUCCAAUUAAUUUCCUUCAGAUUUCUGACUUUCAUCUCAACUGUUCUCAUCUUUGAGAAGCAUUCUUUCCCUGAGACAAUUACUAUUCAUCCUGUAGACAUCAGAAGAUCCUUAGAUUAUUCCAAUAACUUAUAUUUUUCAGAGAAGUUAAUUUUUACUUAACCCAAAGAAGCAAAGGACAAGAAUGGCUGCUUUCAAGAAAAUUUUUCCUUUUAAUCAGUAGACUAUGUUAUUUUAAUAUUAAGAAGCUGGAUGUCUCUUGUCUUAUAAUAUUAUGCCUCUCUCAAGCAGAAUGGGAACCUUUGGAAACCAUUCUCCAAUCCAAAAUCCAUGGCACAGUUAUUUAUUUCUAGGAAGAGGAAUACAUUUAUGAUGAAUAUUUUAUUGUAAAUCUUCAGCUGAGAAUAGAAAUAGUAUAACUGCUAAAUAAAACUGACUUAUUUCCCAGAAACUUCUAGAGCAUAAAGUUACUAGUCAGUACCAGAAAUUAUCUUUGGGGAAACCAAUUUUUUAUGAAUGACCUUGCUUCUUUAUGAAGAAAUGUUGAGAAACGAUAUUUUCUUUUUCCCAUUUAAAAUCCCCAAAUGACAGCAUUUCCUUGCCUUACGCUCGAAUAGGAAAGGAACAAAAAACUUGCCAACAGCUUUUGGACACUGUGGAAAUAGGAAGCUCAUAUUUUGUAAAGCUCACUAGACCAGAAGCUUUUCUAGAACUCUGAUUCUAGGCUUAUCCAUUGUACCAGUAUUGAGCCAGAGUGAUACAUCACCAAACUUUUGUUAGUUAAUACAAUAUUUCCAAAUACUGACUGAUGAAAUAGACUCAACUGCUCUGUAAAUUAUAUGAUAAUUUAUUCUAGGCAUUUUUGACAUGGACACAGAUACCUUGAAGAAACCUACCUGUAAGUUCAGAUACUAUAAUAGAAGGCAGGUCAGAAAAAGAUGUGACCUACAGGAAUGAAAAGAUUAGAUAUUUUUUUCUCUAGCCUUCCCUUCUGUGGUUCGAGAUUGAGAACUUUCAAUCACAGUUGUUAGAGAAAGGACUACUCAUAUGGUAUCUGGACAAAAAAAUACUGGGUGAAGCCCAUCUCCAUCAGUUGAGCUAGAAAAGACAUUCAUUGGCAAGAGACAUCAGGGACUUAGAUUAAAUCUUGAAAAAUGCCCUAAGCAAGAUGGGGAAAUUUGAACAUCAGUGAGAAUAACAACUGCAAUGGAAUGAAAUACAUCAUAUGCUAAAACUCAUAAGAUUAUAAUGAU
Molecule: long non-coding RNA, 4570 nt
Filed under: Canis lupus familiaris (dog)
Lineage: Eukaryota; Metazoa; Chordata; Mammalia; Carnivora; Canidae
Description: lncRNA (ENSCAFG00845011555.1)
Source: RNAcentral